Molecule: ribosomal RNA, 544 nt
Filed under: Rhodotorula babjevae
Lineage: Eukaryota; Fungi; Basidiomycota; Microbotryomycetes; Sporidiobolales; Sporidiobolaceae
Description: partial large subunit ribosomal RNA
Rfam family: Eukaryotic large subunit ribosomal RNA
Source: RNAcentral
GGAUUCCCCUAGUAGCGGCGAGCGAAGCGGGAAGAGCUCAAAUUUAUAAUCUGGCACCUUCGGUGUCCGAGUUGUAAUCUCUAGAAGUGUUUUCCGCGUUGGACCGCACACAAGUCUGUUGGAAUACAGCGGCAUAGUGGUGAAACCCCCGUAUAUGGUGCGGACGCCCAGCGCUUUGUGAUACACUUUCAAUGAGUCGAGUUGUUUGGGAAUGCAGCUCAAAUUGGGUGGUAAAUUCCAUCUAAAGCUAAAUAUUGGCGAGAGACCGAUAGCGAACAAGUACCGUGAGGGAAAGAUGAAAAGCACUUUGGAAAGAGAGUUAACAGUACGUGAAAUUGUUGGAAGGGAAACGCUUGAAGUCAGACUUGCUUGCCGGAGCUUGCUUCGGUUUGCAGGCCAGCAUCAGUUUUCCGGGGUGGAUAAUGACGGUUUGAAGGUAGCAGUCUCGGCUGUGUUAUAGCUUUCCGUUGGAUACAUCCUGGGGGACUGAGGAACGCAGCGUGCUUUUUGCGAAAGACUCGUCUUUUUCACGCUUAGGAUGCUG